AUGACUUAAAAGAAAAGGUGAUGCUAUAACUCAUUAUUUUCACAUUUCUAUAUGUUUGAAAUACGAGUAGAUGUGAUGUCUUUGUUAAGAGUCUCAUAUUGGAUGAGAUAUAUAGCUUAAACAUAUGUUUAUAAGUAGGAUAAUUUUCAUCUUACAAACGAAUUUUGUAAGAUUAAAAUGGUAUAAUCUAUCCAAUAUCUAUCAGAUCAUCUGCUAUUAGGUUUGCUGUAUCAAACUACUUGGGUCAAAUUUCAGUUGUCCUGUCCUAAGUAUGAGAGGUGUGUUAAAAAUCUCAUAUUUAAUUAGAUAAUAUGACUUGUAUAUAUGUUUAUAAGUAGAAUAAAUCUUUUUUUUAUUUCCGUUAUGGUAGUUGAUGAAUUGGGAGUUUGUUAGUUCUGCCUUUUUAGUUUUAAAAUUUUUGGUAAAGGCCUGGAAACAAACCGGUUCAUAUUUAGAGAGGCCUUAUAGGGGUUCCUUUGGAGCAUCCAUUGUAUUCUUUUAUUUUUAAAUUAUAUUAUAUUGUUUCAUAUAAAAUGAUGCAUUUUAUGAAUAUUUUUUUUUCAAAAGUAAGACACUGCAUUCAACUAUAACUAAACCAUAUGGGUCAAUUGAUGUAGU
This 618-nucleotide long non-coding RNA is filed under the name Trifolium pratense (red clover). RNAcentral's name for it is "long non-coding RNA (TPRA_LNC010184)". Lineage: Eukaryota; Viridiplantae; Streptophyta; Magnoliopsida; Fabales; Fabaceae. The record is from RNAcentral.